GAGGAAUAUUGGUCAAUGGACGAGAGUCUGAACCAGCCAAAUCGCGUGAAGGAAGACUGCCCUAGGGGUUUUAAACUUUUUUUGUCAAGGAAUAAAAGACAUAACUGGUAAUUUAUUGCUUGAAUUUUCGGAUUAGGCAUCGCCUAAUUCCGUGCCAGCACCGCGGUAAUACGGAGGAUGCGAGCGUUAUCCGGAUUUAUUGGGUUUAAAGGGUGCGCAGGCGGGAUUUUAAGUCAGCGGUGAAAUUUUCAGGCUCAACCUGAACACUGCCGUUGAAACUGGGAUUCUUGAGUAUGGAUGAAGUAGGCGGAAUUCGUUGUGUAGCGGUGACAUGCUUAGAUAUAACGAGGAACUCCGAUUGCGUAGGCAGCUUACUAAGCCAUAACUGACGCUCAAGCACGAAAGCGUGGGGAUCGAACA
RNAcentral lists this ribosomal RNA (420 nucleotides) under uncultured Dysgonomonas sp. RNAcentral describes it as "bacterial SSU rRNA". It matches the Rfam family "Bacterial small subunit ribosomal RNA", at positions 356 to 774 of the family's 1533-position model. The record is from RNAcentral. Lineage: Bacteria; Pseudomonadati; Bacteroidota; Bacteroidia; Bacteroidales; Dysgonomonadaceae.